AAGACCUUACUUCAUAGGAUCAUUUCUAUAGUAAGCUCUUCACGAGAUCAUCACACUAUGUGAGAUCACCACUGGCCGCGAUGAGGAGACGUGGCGCGGUGCCCUGAGCGUGAGGCGGGCGAUGGUACAACCACCAUCAGCCCUCGAUGAUCGUUCACUCCCUCUCUGGAGGGAGCGUGGGGUACUGUCGCUGUCUGAGUGGU
Molecule: small nucleolar RNA, 203 nt
Organism: Aricia agestis (brown argus)
Lineage: Eukaryota; Metazoa; Arthropoda; Insecta; Lepidoptera; Lycaenidae
Product: small nucleolar RNA U3
Exons: 1
Source: RefSeq, a predicted model, not a curated record